RNAcentral lists this ribosomal RNA (332 nucleotides) under uncultured Methylobacterium sp. RNAcentral describes it as "bacterial SSU rRNA". It matches the Rfam family "Bacterial small subunit ribosomal RNA", at positions 1 to 359 of the family's 1533-position model. Lineage: Bacteria; Pseudomonadati; Pseudomonadota; Alphaproteobacteria; Hyphomicrobiales; Methylobacteriaceae. The record is from RNAcentral.
UUCGCCCUUAGAGUUUGAUCCUGGCUCAGAGCGAACGCUGGCGGCAGGCUUAACACAUGCAAGUCGAGCGGGCCCUUCGGGGUCAGCGGCAGACGGGUGAGUAACGCGUGGGAACGUGCCCUUCGGUUCGGAAUAACCCUGGGAAACUAGGGCUAAUACCGGAUACGCCCCUUGGGGGAAAGGUUUACUGCCGAAGGAUCGGCCCGCGUCUGAUUAGCUAGUUGGUGAGGUAACGGCUCACCAAGGCGACGAUCAGUAGCUGGUCUGAGAGGAUGAUCAGCCACACUGGGACUGAGACACGGCCCAGACUCCUACGGGAGGCAGCAGAAGGG